AGCGAGAUCUGAAAUAGAGAGAGAAAGAGAUACGAGAUGUGGGGAAGAGUGGCUGAGAUUUGAGAGAGAUCGUGAGCGAGGGUGAGAGGGAAACCCACAUCUGAGUUGUGUGCCCCGGGGGGUUUUGUGGCCGCCGGCUACCGCGCCUGAGUCUAACCGACGACCCGCCGCCGCCGCCGGGCAAGCUCGGGGCUCUAUUUCUUGCCCUUUUUCGAGCAUACGGGGUCGGAGCUCGCGGCUGUCCAACUUGCGUGAGCUCCGGCCCCGACCGAUCUUCAUUAGGUUGCUCCGGCCGUCGCCCGUCGCUCAGCUUCCCUCCCGGUGUUGUUGGGAACCUCGGUUGGUUCGCGUCCUCCAGGUGUUUGAUGAAAUUCCCGAGAGAGUUUGGUGGCCGCGAACGAAAUUUACAGUGACCGGCGACGAUGGAUGGUGGCGGUGGCGGUGGCUGGUCGGAAGGAGGCUGAACUCAGCCUGGGUGUGCGAGGCGGCGCCGCGGCCGAGCAACGCCGUACACCUCAGCCCUCUCAGCCGCGGCCGCGUGAGAGCACGUAUGGAGUCGGGUCGCGUGAGUCGGGCCGGCCGGGUCGGCGUGAGACCCGGUUGGCUUUUGGUUCUGGGCUAGGGCUUUUCGCUUUAAUGGGCUGGACUUUGUUUAAUGUGAAUCGUGGGCCGGGCAUUUCUUUUAAUUGAAAGUGGGCUCAACUUUGUUUUAAUAUUUUGCGAUUGGACUGGGCCUGUGAUUUAGGCCCAGAUUGGUCGCGGCUGGGCGACCCGGAUCGGGACCGACCCCGGAGAUUCGACCCGGGUCGGUUCCUAUCCGGUCUUCCUUCAUAAUAAUA
RNAcentral lists this long non-coding RNA (839 nucleotides) under Eucalyptus grandis. RNAcentral's name for it is "long non-coding RNA (EGRA_LNC003302)". The record is from RNAcentral. Lineage: Eukaryota; Viridiplantae; Streptophyta; Magnoliopsida; Myrtales; Myrtaceae.